Molecule: long non-coding RNA, 498 nt
Organism: Gallus gallus (chicken)
Lineage: Eukaryota; Metazoa; Chordata; Aves; Galliformes; Phasianidae
Source: Ensembl
CUCCCAAGGAGGAAGGAUCUCUAUCUGGAGAUCACUUCUCUUGGAGCCCUUCUGCGAGCAUAGGAUAUGGCAGUUUUUAUUGAUGUAAAUCCAGGCGUGGGGCCUCCAAAAAAGAAGAACAUGGAGCUGCUGGAGUGAGUCUAUAGGAAGGUCUCCAAGAGCAGCUAGCAGAAUACAAGACCCUCCAAGGACUGAAAUUCAGUAUGUUAUAAAGCCUGUGAGCCAAGACCACAUCCAUCACCAUGGUUCAGCAGAUCUUCCUGUGUGCAUCUUCAGGCUUUGGACAAGCAUGGGUCUUUUCUUGCUUUGAGAACCUCAUCCUCCUUACAGAAGUGCUGACCGAGUGCAGUUCGGUGUACUCUUUACAGCAGGAGGCACUGUGACAGUUUAGGACAUUGCUCCUUAAUGUAAUUUGAAAUGAAAGAGAUCACUCUCUCCUUGUGUGUGUUCUUGUCUAUCUUAUGUCUCUGGUGUUUUUCUUUACAGACAAAAGCCAGG